This 919-nucleotide ribosomal RNA is filed under the name uncultured archaeon. Its description in RNAcentral is "bacterial SSU rRNA". It matches the Rfam family "Archaeal small subunit ribosomal RNA", at positions 1 to 922 of the family's 1478-position model. The record is from RNAcentral.
UUCCGGUUGAUCCUGCCGGAGGCCAUUGCUAUCGGGGUCCGAGUUAGCCAUGCUAGUCGCACGGGUUCAGACCCGUGGCGAAUAGCUCCGUAACACGUGGCCAAACUACCCUCUGGAGGGGGAUACUCUCGGGAAACUGAGGCUAAUCCCGCAUACUCCUGGCGACCUGGAAUGGUGCCAGGCACAAACGCUGAGGCGCCAGAGGAUGUGGCUGCGGCCGAUUAGGUAGACGGUGGGGUAACGGCCCACCGUGCCGAUAAUCGGUACGGGUUGUGAGAGCAAGAGCCCGGAGACGGAAUCUGAGACAAGAUUCCGGGCCCUACGGGGCGCAGCAGGCGCGAAACCUUUACACUGCACGCCAGUGCGAUAAGGGGACCCCGAGUGCGAGGGCAUAUCGUCCUCGCUUUUCUGUACCGUAGGGAGGUACACGAAUAAGGGCUGGGCAAGACCGGUGCCAGCCGCCGCGGUAAUACCGGCAGCCCGAGUGAUGGCCGAUGUUAUUGGGCCUAAAGCGUCCGUAGCCGGCCGGGCAAGUCCGUCGGGAAAUCCACGCGCUCAACGCGUGGGCGUCCGGCGGAACCUGCCCGGCUUGGGACCGGAAGAUCCAGCGGGUACGUCCGGGGUAGGAGUGAAAUCCUGUAAUCCCGGACGGACCGCCGAUGGCGAAAGCACGCUGGAAAGACGGAUCCGACGGUGAGGGACGAAAGCUAGGGUCUCGAACCGGAUUAGAUACCCGGGUAGUCCUAGCCGUAAACGAUGCUCGCUAGGUGUGGCUCCCGCUACGAGCGGGUGCUGUGCCGUAGGGAAGCCGCUAAGCGAGCCGCCUGGGAAGUACGUCCGCAAGGAUGAAACUUAAAGGAAUUGGCGGGGGAGCACUACAACCGGAGGAGCCUGCGGUUUAAUUGGAUUCAACGCCGGG